GCUGCUGAGAUGUGGAGUUGAGGUCACAGUUGAUGGACCAGAUUCGCACGCUGGAUUGGUGGCGAUUGCCGAAUCCUCCGUCUCUUCGGGUGUUCGGGUGAAUGGAUGAGGAGGGGUCCCUGAAGGCUGGAUCUGCCGCCUUGGACUUACAGUUCAUAUGGCGAAGUACAGUGUGGUAGUGGUGGAUGGUGCUAUAAGGUGAUAAAUGAUCUAGAACUGACAAUGUGAUAAAGCGGCCCAGAAGCCUCCCACUCUGUAACAUUACAUUACAUUACAUAAGCUUGCGAUUCACCAAACGUGGGAUAAACAUUGUGAUGUGCGGGAGCACCUCCUUCCUGCCCGCUUGCUCGGCCGCCAGCCCCAUCCAAUUCUUAUACUUCGCCAUGUGGAUUCCUGGUUGCUUGCUGUCUGACGGAUAUACGUCAGGCUGGACAUCUAAACGCGUAUGCUUCCAACCACUCAUUAAUCGGUCCUUGAACUCCAAAAUCACACCUUCUGGCAUUGGCUUGUUCAUCAACCACUCCACUCGUUCGUCUACCUCGUGUAGCCCUUGCGGGGCCUCUUUCCAUACAUCGUGCCCCAAGAAACAUAGAAAACCCACUUGACACACAUGAGCAGAUCUCACCAAAAGCGGCCCCUGCAGGCUGCUCCACUGUUGUCUGCCAAAAGCAUGGCCAACAUCAGUGCAUGCACCAACAGCAGCCAUCUCACUAGGCCGCCAUGCAUUCAAUUGUUAGACCUUUGCUUAUAAGUCGCAUCCCAUAGCAAACCAAACACAAACACAAGGAAGUUCUAUGGGGGGUCUAACAUCAAAGUCGUCCAUGCAUUUUUGCUUCACACCAAAUGGCUCGCACUCAUUGCAAACAACACAACAAACCCUCACCCCCUACCGUGGGGGGGACAGUGCCCACUUGUAACCCGGGAUGCUCAGAUGGGCCUGGCGUCGCCACAUAAGCAGUGGGCAAUAGAACCUCACGCUACACUUAUGUAGGCUUGCCCACCUGAAAAAUUGUCUUACUGUGAGAGGGUGUGGUUGGGGGUGCUGCAGCCUAUGUUGUGAUGGGAUUUGGCUUGACGAUAAAUGGUGCAUGCAUGGUGAGUCGAAUGGAAAGCUUACAAGGAGCAAAGCGAACUGAUGAGUUGUGCUCAGUAAAAAAAGUCCACAUUACAAAAACAUGCCGAAAGGCCGACUUGUUCUCCUGGAAUGCCUGUGAUGUGUUGGUGAAACCCUGGAAUUUGUUGUUGUUGUUGUUACAGGGUGGUACAGCUUCACCAGUGGCCUCCUUCCUGAGGCAAUUUGUUGUGAAGAGCCUGUAAAAACAAACACGAAAUGCAAGCAACAUAUCUUAUCCUUCCUCUCUUCCCGUUCAUCUUCAUCCUUUUGUUCUCUCCCUCCAUACCCUCCUCUUGCUCCUCUUUUUUCGCUCUUUUCCUUACCAGAAUGCGGAAACGUUUCCUCCUCUUCCUUCUCUCUCCCUUUUGUCCCUUCUCCCCUUCGUAUUCCUCUUCACAAUCCUCUCUGUCCUCUCUCUCACGUCCAUCCUCCUCGUAAUUCUUUCUCUCCUCCCCCUCCUCUCCUUCCACUCCCUCCUUUUCCUUCCCUCCCUCCACUCCCACCUUGUCCUUCUUUCCCUCCUCUCAAGGCGGCGGGAUAAAGCCAACCUUUUGGAGGGCAUGUUCGAAGCCUGUUUGAAGGAUUAUGCAGUCCAGCUGCAGAUUUUAUUCAUGAGGCAGGUAGUGGGGACAGGACGGCCUUCCCACAGGCUGUUGUAUGCAGAGCUGGCUGAACUCCCCUUCCAGUAUUGCAUGGUGAAACAUUCCUCCGUUUCUGGAACCGUCUUCAAAAGCAAGUGGGGACCAUUGCUCAUGCAGUUUUUAUGGCAGGAGAUAAUGUUAUGACUGUUUUCCUUCUUGGAGUGCAAUAUUAGGCGUGGAAUACCGCAAGAAGUCGUGGGGGUAAAGGAGAGUGUUGACUGGUUGUUGAGUAGGCCUCUACCCAAUGGAUUGAUGAUAACGGCACUAGGAGAGUGUUUGAUGAGCGGCUGGGACCAUACGCGUCUGACUGUCUUGCCAGAGGAGUACCCAUCAGAUGGGAAGCAACCUGGAGUGCAAAUGGUGAAGUAUAAGCACUGGAUGGGGCCACCCUUUUUGGGAGUUGCAGCCGUCCUGUGGCCAACACAUGCUAAGGUUUUUAUUCCUCGUUUAGCACAUCAUAAGCUAAUGCAGAUUCAUUUAUGUUGCUAAGCUCUGGAGGCAAACAGAGCAUGAAGAGGCAAGUACCAUGUCCCCAUGGGGCAGCAGUUUUGCCACUGUUGUGGUACUAAUAGCCGAAUCAAGGAUGAAAAACACAUGUUAAUGGAAUGCCCAGCCUAUAUUAUUGACAUUCGUGCUGAAGAGGGAUUCGAUCAUCAACAGAGCAUAUUGUAGGACAUGAAAUGGGAACCAGCACAUCUUGCGAGUGUGGAACAUAUAGGGUUCAUUGGACCUUACAGGUCCUGAUUCCAUUGACUUUUAGUGCCUAGUUUCCUGUGUAGUUUGCUUCCUUCUGCCUACUUUUGAGUACCAGUUUGCUCCCCAAUACUGUAACCUAUAUCUAAAACAGUGCAUGCUCUUCCAACGUGACUUCACUAGUCUCCACAUCCUUGACAGGUUUUUACAGUAUACCAAUUAGGUGGUACAACAAAUGCCAAGCUUAUCAUGAUAAACAGGACUAGGUUAGCCAACUUGAUGCCUAGCCACCGAAUAGCAGCCAGGAAAAAAGCUGGCAAAUACAUAAAAAAACGAUGCCUAGGACAACACCAUAACUGCAUUUAAAUGCAGUNNNNNNNNNNNNNNNNNNNNNNNNNNNNNNNNNNNNNNNNNNNNNNNNNNUCACUGCCAUCUAUGGUGGCAGUUAUGCAAGGGUUAGCGUCCUGCAAGUUUAAGACCCCUGCAGUUGUAGCGCUGGCCAAGGCAACAGCAUUUAAAUGCCGUUAUGGUGUUGUCUUAGGCGUCCUUUUUUUAUGUAUUUGCCAGCUUUUUUCCUGGCUGUUAUUUGGUGGCUAGGCAUAAAGUUGGCAGACCAAGUCCUGUUUAUUGUGAUAACCUUGGCAUUUGUUGUACCACCUACUUGGUAUACCGCUCGCAAAAACUAGUCAAGGACGUGGAGACUUAUGAAGUCUUAAAGCUGCAAGAUGCCAACACUUGCAUAACUGCCACCAUAGAUAGCAGCGACAUCUGCUUCCCAACCAACAUUGACAGAAUCAUAAACAAUUUUCCAUAGCAUCAAUUGAUUUUUCCGUUGGCUUGCCGACAUGGAAGGGCCAUGCUAGUUUCUGCCAUGCAGAGUGAAACGUAUGCAGCAUGUCUGAAGUGCACAACAUAUCGAUAUGUGACUAAAUAUGUGCUGCUGUGGACUGAGUAUGCCAGGAUAGGCUAUCUAUGAAGGGAUGCCUUUCCUAGUGCACUGACAUACCAGGAGAAUUACCAAACACUUUCUAGUGCUAGGCUCCAUUCAUAGCUUCUCCAAUUCCUUCACACUCACACUGGACGUCGAUCUCGAUGUGCUCCUUGCGCCCUGUGAAAGAGCAGGGGCAGGCAACAGGAUGCCUCAAUUUCCACACGAUAGGCAGGCAUUUGGAAUGCUCCAUUCCUUGAUACCUAUGAAACUCAAGGCUCAUCCAAGUCCUUGUCCUCGUAUUGUUGUCGAGCUUCCUCGCGUACCUCGCGUUGUUGUUGUUGUUGGUCGUGCUUCAGUUACCAUAGUGUCUUCAGGUGCUCGCAUAAGCCUUUGUUAUUAGGCUCCGCCGCCGACACUUCUGCAAUUUCCUCGUCAAAAGACAGCAUGUUUUCGCUAAGAGUGCAGUUAAACAAAUUUCGCCUAUUGUACAUGGAUAGUGAUUAGUAUGGCGGGGCUUGGGGUUGCUAAAUCCUAAUCGAGAUUAGGAUGCCCUGGAGUGGUCGCUAGUACGGCUGCCAUGUAACUAAGCGCAAAGUAAAUUCAGUAUAUAUUCGAGACGUACCAUGUUUCUGCUUUGCUGCAAAAUGGCCGUCCCUCCAUCCUCCAUCUUGUUCAAUCCUCGAACUAUCUGAACGAAUUCGCAUACGCUUAUGUCAACCUUGGCCACCGUGUCCCGAAUCAUUGUCUGAAUACCUAGCCAACUUGCCGCUCCUAGCUCCAUGUAAGUGCGGCUCGAACCGGUGGCGGCUUGCCCCAUGUCGCCUGCAACACGGGUGUGGGUAUACAUAAACGGUGCAUAAGGCCGGUAGUGCAUACGGUUGAGCAGCUUUCGCUGCCCUGCACCAACGCUGACUGCGUCGGUGAUAACAUGGGGUCACGCCAUCCAAAGAACUGCAGCAAUUCACGGAUGACGGUCAGCAGCUGUUUGAUCGACAAACACGGCAAUCCAACAUACGGCUUAUACAAAUGUCCAAACUACACCAAUAAAAAGUUGGGGAGGUGGGAACAAGAAACUCAUCCUCGAAAUUGUGGCAAGAAGAGGGUGCAUGCACUCAGCGCAUGGAUGCAAUUGAACAGGGAGGAGGAAAUGCUCCCAUCCUGUCCCCCUGUUGGCCCUCAGUUGCUAACGCGCCCAUGCUGGCCAGAAUGCCAAGAAUGUUUCCUGAUCAACAAUUUGUGAUACCCUCAGCCCAAGAUCUGAAAUGAAACGAAUGCUCGGUGGCACAUUGUCCCAGGCCUCCUCACCCUGGAAUGGCGUUGGUAGUAAAGACAGAUCAUGGUGGAAUUUCGCGCACCUCACACGCGCAGCAGCAUUCGUGCAGCACGACAGCACACAAAAGGCAGCAGCAAGGCAGUACGACAGCCCUGGCUCUCCGGCUAGCGGCUCCCCCGAAAGCAAAAACUUAAAACGUCCACAUCGUCAAUACCACCGGGUGGAAAUAAUGAAUGCUUCUCGGUCAGCAGAACGUUUGCCGAGGCGGUCGCUGCGGUGUCGGUUAGCUACUCUAGGCGGGAAGGCUUUCUCACAGCCGGGAAACCUUCCCAACACAUAAUCCAGCACCGAAGCUAAUACAACUUGCGAGCUGACCAGGAACUAAGUUGACGUGCCGUUGAUCCGCUAGAUUUGGUUGGAUGCUGGUGGUGAGUUGCCAAACUCAAAGAGUACACUCUGAAGUCGGAUGGGGUGAAUGGAUUAGGGUGCCCCUCUAGCAGGGGAGAGCAGGGAAUUGCCUCGGGAAGGAGGCCACUGGUGAAGCUUAACCACCCUGUAACAACAUCAACUAGUAAGGGCUUUCAGGUGUUAUGGUUAUGCGGGCAGCAGUACCAAUGACCCGUCCGCAUUCACAGCUUCAACAGAAAUGAUACAUAAGGAAUUCUCUGGUCUGGGUUGACACUACUGCAAUUAGCGGUUUAAGGUCCUGGGUUCGAUUCCUGGGGAGACCCCCGAACUAGUCGGGAGCGCGAGAUUAUGGCUAGCUGCUGAGAUGUGGAGUUGAGGUCACAGUUGAUGGACCAGAUUCGCACGCUGGAUUGGUGGCGAUUGCCGAACCCUCCGUCUCUUCGGGUGUUCGGGUGAAUGGAUGAGGAGGGGUCCCUGAAGGCUGGAUCCGCCGCCUUGGACUUACAGUUCGUAUGGCGAAGACAGUGUGGUAGUGGUGGAUGGUGCUAUAAGGUGAUAAAUGAUCGUAGAACUGACAAUGUGAUAAAGCGGCCCAGAAGCCUCCCACUCUGUAACACAUUACAUUACAUUACAUUACAUUACAUAAGGAAUUCACAACAUAAAGAUUCAGCCUGUCCCUGUGGCACGUGGUUAUAAAGCACAAAGUCAGAUGUCGCG
RNAcentral lists this long non-coding RNA (5777 nucleotides) under Volvox carteri. RNAcentral's name for it is "long non-coding RNA (VCAR_LNC002481)". The record is from RNAcentral. Lineage: Eukaryota; Viridiplantae; Chlorophyta; Chlorophyceae; Chlamydomonadales; Volvocaceae.